CGGGGAGGCAAGGGGUAGCUACUUCAGGCGCAGGGGAGCAGGCCCUCGGAGUCGGGAGGGCCAGCGAGCUGAGAGCAGGCGCAGGGGAGCGGCGGCGGGCGGCUCGCGGUGCGGGAUCCCCGCCCGCUCCAGCCCCUCCGCCGCGCGCUCCCGCGCUCCGCUGCUCCCGCCGCGCCCGCUCCUUAGUAUUCCCCCCACGGAGCCGAGCGCCGCGCUGCAGUGGCUGGUCCGGGGGAGGGGCGCCCCGUCAGGCUCUGUCCUCCGCGUCCCCCAGGGUCGGGAGGUGGGUGGGCACCGAGCUCCUCCGCGGAACCCUCAUUCCCUGGCUGGGGACUGCCGAGGGUGGGGGGUGACGGGGACGGUGCGCUCCCCUCCCGCCCCCCCGGCCCCCCCCCCCAGGUCGCCUUGGACCCAGGCGCCAGAGCUGUCAACAGCGCGAGGUGUCUCGGGCGACCAGGGGAGGGGACGCGGUGCGGAGUGGCGUCCUGCACACCCCGCGCCGCAUUCUCGGACUGAGGGUACAGAUAAAGGGGAGGGGCCCUCCAAGCGCCUGCUCAAGUGUCCACUUCCUGCUCCUGAGGCUCCGAGGUGAGGAAGGGCCCGUGGCUCAUGUCUCCUGGACUGACUCCCUCAGCGCCCUACCCGUCACUUUAAUAGUCUUAGCGGGAGCCUGGGAUGGGGGCUCCACCCGGAGAGGAAAGGCCUUGUGAGAACACAGUGAGGAGACAGCCAUCUGAAACCCAAAAAGAGCUUUCACCAUGCCUGGACCCUGCCAGCAACUUGACCUCUUGGACUUCUAGUCUCCAGAACUGUGAGAAAUAAAUUUCAAUUAUUCAAGCCAA
Neofelis nebulosa (Clouded leopard) is the source of this 842-nucleotide long non-coding RNA. RefSeq lists it as uncharacterized. The transcript has 2 exons. The record is from RefSeq and is a predicted model, not a curated record. NCBI's taxonomy places the organism in Eukaryota, Metazoa, Chordata, Mammalia, Carnivora, Felidae.